UACAGCCAUAUCUCUUUGAAACUUACCAGAUCCCAUAUGAUCGCCAAAGUUAAGCAAUGUUGAGUUUGGUCAGUACCUAGAUGGUUGACCACUUGGGUAUAGCAGAUG
Molecule: non-coding RNA, 108 nt
Organism: Acanthosepion pharaonis
Lineage: Eukaryota; Metazoa; Mollusca; Cephalopoda; Sepiida; Sepiidae
Source: the annotation of a GenBank genome assembly